Molecule: ribosomal RNA, 305 nt
Filed under: uncultured bacterium
Lineage: Bacteria
Description: bacterial SSU rRNA
Rfam family: Bacterial small subunit ribosomal RNA
Source: RNAcentral
CCUACGGGAGGCAGCCGUAGGUAAUCUUCCUCAAUUUUUUCCCCCCUGAAGCAGCAACGCCGCGUGGAGGAUGAAGGUUUUCGGAUUGUAAACUCCUUUUGUUAGAGAAGAUAAUGACGGUAUCUAACGAAUAAGCACCGGCUAACUCCGUGCCAGCAGCCGCGGCAAUACGGAGGGUGCAAGCGUUACUCGGAAUCACUGGGCGUAAAGAGCGCGUAGGCGGGAUAGCAAGUCAGAUGUGAAAUCAUAUGGCUUAACCAUAGAACUGCAUUUGAAACUGUUAUUCUAGAGUAUGGUAGAGGUAG